UCAGAUUGAACGCUGGCGGCGUGCUUAACACAUGCAAGUCGCGCGUGAAAGGACUUCGGUCCGAGUAAAGCGGCGCACGGGUGAGUAACGCGUGGAUGAUCUACCCAUGAGUUAGGAAUAACGGCUGGAAACGGUCGCUAAUACCAAAUACGCUCCGAUUUCAACUUCGGGGGAAAGGUGGCCUCUGCUUGCAAGCUACUGCUCAUGGAUGAGUCCGCGUCCCAUUAGCUAGUUGGUGGGGUAACGGCCCACCAAGGCGACGAUGGGUAGCCGGUCUGAGAGGAUGACCGGCCACACUGGGACUGGAACACGGCCCAGACUCCUACGGGAGGCAGCAGUGGGGAAUAUUGCGCAAUGGGCGAAAGCCUGACGCAGCGACGCCGCGUGAGGGACGAAGGUCCUCGGAUCGUAAACCUCUGUCAGGAGGGAAGAACCGCCACGGUGCUAAUCAGCCGUGGUCUGACGGUACCUCCAAAGGAAGCACCGGCUAGCUCCGUGCCAGCCGCCGC
This 509-nucleotide ribosomal RNA is filed under the name uncultured bacterium. RNAcentral describes it as "bacterial SSU rRNA". It matches the Rfam family "Bacterial small subunit ribosomal RNA", at positions 24 to 518 of the family's 1533-position model. The record is from RNAcentral.